UACGUAGGGGGCGAGCGUUGUCCGGAUUUAUUGGGCGUAAAGAGCUCGUAGGCGGUUUGGCAAGUCGGGUGUGAAAACUCCGGGCUCAACUCGGAGACGCCACUCGAUACUGCUAUGACUUGAGUCCGGUAGGGGAGUGCGGAAUUCCUGGUGUAGCGGUGAAAUGCGUAGAUAUCAGGAGGAAUACCGAUGGCGAAGGCAGGUCUCUGGGCUGACACUGACGCUCAUGCACGAAAGCGUGGGGAGCAAACAGG
Molecule: ribosomal RNA, 254 nt
Filed under: uncultured bacterium
Lineage: Bacteria
Description: partial 16S ribosomal RNA
Rfam family: Bacterial small subunit ribosomal RNA
Source: RNAcentral